This 433-nucleotide unclassified non-coding RNA is filed under the name soil metagenome. Its description in RNAcentral is "partial contains 5.8S ribosomal RNA, internal transcribed spacer 2, and large subunit ribosomal RNA". The stretch from base 1 to 120 matches the Rfam family "5.8S ribosomal RNA", at positions 35 to 154 of the family's 154-position model. The record is from RNAcentral.
GAUGAAGAACGUAGCAAAAUGCGAUACGUAAUGUGAAUUGCAGAAUUCAGUGAAUCAUCGAAUCUUUGAACGCAUAUUGCGCUCUCUGGUAUUCCGGAGAGCAUGCUUGUUUGAGUAUCAGUAAACACCUCAACUUCCAUAUCUUUUUUGAAAUGGGAGUUGGACUUGAGUGAUCCCAACGCUUUUCCUCACCGAAAAGUGGCGGGUUACUUGAAAUGCAGGUGCAGCUGGACUUUUCUCUGAGCUAUAAGCAUAUCUAUUUAGUCUGCCUAAAAAACAGAUUAUUACCUUUGCUGCAGCUAACAUAAAGGAGAUUAGUUCUUGUGCUGACUGAUGCAGGAUUCACAAAGACAGGCUUCGGCCGACUUUGUAAACUCGAUCUCAAAUCAAGUAAGACUACCCGCUGAACUUAAGCAUAUCAAUAAGCGGAGGA